This 682-nucleotide ribosomal RNA is filed under the name uncultured Hyphomicrobiales bacterium. Its description in RNAcentral is "bacterial SSU rRNA". It matches the Rfam family "Bacterial small subunit ribosomal RNA", at positions 61 to 787 of the family's 1533-position model. The record is from RNAcentral. Lineage: Bacteria; Pseudomonadati; Pseudomonadota; Alphaproteobacteria; Hyphomicrobiales.
GUCGAGCGCACAGGUUUACCUGUGAGCGGCAGACGGGUGAGUAACGCGUGGGAAUCUACCUUAAGCUGCGGGAUAACAGAGAGAAAUUUCUGCUAAUACCGCAUGUGCCCGGAAGGGGAAAGAUUUAUCGGCUUAAGAUGAGCCCGCGUUGGAUUAGCUAGUUGGUGGGGUAAAGGCCUACCAAGGCGACGAUCCAUAGCUGGUCUGAGAGGAUGAUCAGCCACACUGGGACUGAGACACGGCCCAGACUCCUACGGGAGGCAGCAGUGGGGAAUAUUGGACAAUGGGCGCAAGCCUGAUCCAGCCAUGCCGCGUGAGUGAUGAAGGCCUUAGGGUUGUAAAGCUCUUUCACCGGGGAAGAUAAUGACGGUACCCGGAGAAGAAGCCCCGGCUAACUUCGUGCCAGCAGCCGCGGUAAUACGAAGGGGGCUAGCGUUGUUCGGAAUUACUGGGCGUAAAGAGCGCGUAGGCGGAAAAGUAAGUCAGGGGUGAAAUCCCGGGGCUCAACCCCGGAAUUGCCUUUGAUACUGUUUUUCUUGAGUGCAGAAGAGGUAAGUGGAAUUCCGAGUGUAGAGGUGAAAUUCGUAGAUAUUCGGAAGAACACCGGUGGCGAAGGCGGCUUACUGGUCUGCAACUGACGCUGAGGCGCGAAAGCGUGGGGAGCAAACAGGAUUAGAUACCC